CCCCUCCCGUGGCCAUGUUGAGGAGGUGCGGUGGUGUGAGCGGCGCCGCACCUCGGCCACUCUCGUCUCACCUGCAACUGGAGGAGGAUGUGUGCAGACAACUGGAUUGUGGCUGGACAAGGUAUCGGAUUGGAGUUCGGGAUGAAGGCAGGAUGGAGAGCUCCAUGCAUUAAAUAAUGGCCCCUGUAGUAAUAAGAUGGAGAACUCGGCAUUAAAUGAGGGCAGGGUGGAGAGCACUAUACAUUAAGAAGAUGAAGGCAGGAUGGAGAGCUCCAUGCAUUAAAUAAUGGCCCCUGUAGUAAUAAGAUGGAGAACUCGGCAUUAAAUGAGGGCAGGGUGGGGAGCUCUGCAUUAAAUGAGGGCAGGGUGGGGAGCACUAUACAUUAAGAAGAUGAAGGCAGGAUGGAGAGCUCCAUGCAUUAAAUAAUGGCCCCUGUAGUAAUAAGAUGGAGAACUCGGCAUUAAAUGAGGGCAGGGUGGGGAGCUCUGCAUUAAAUGAGGGCAGGGUGGAGAGCACUAUACAUUAAGAAGAUGAAGGCAGGAUGGAGAGCUCCAUGCAUUAAAUAAUGGCCCCUGUAGUAAUAAAACUGCCAGAAAGCGUGUUGUAAACGGUCAGACUCGGACAAAGGGUUGUGGCAGAGCAUUGGAGCAAAAUGGAUUUUUGGAAUUGUCUGCAAUUGCAUCCUGAAUCUGAACUGCCAGAAAGCGUGUUGGAAACGGUCAGACUCGGACAAAGGGUUGUGGCAGAGCAUUGGAGCAAAAUGGAUUUUUGAUUAGUGGCUGGUCUUUGGUGGGAUACAACAUUUACUGUUGGUGGUUAGCAUGGCAGUUGGUGAUGGAGGUUUUCUUCUGUACUGAUGGGCAGUGGCAAGCGGGUGUUGAUAGCCUCAUCAUUCGGAACCCAGGCGCCUGACAAAAUUGUCGUCUCAUUUUGGCUGUGUGACCAGUAUGCUUUGUGCUGAAACUAUAAUGGCAGGAGCAAUUUGUGAUGGACUGCUGCCUUUGUUACUGCAAGCAUGUUUACUUGAAAACUUGGUGUAUACCAUAAGGGAGACCUACAGGAUUUUCUAGUCUCUAAUUGGUACAUCCGUGGCAAGUCCUGCAACCCUCAAUUUUUGCACUUUCAUAAUGCCCAGAAGUAUUGCAGCCACUGCCUAUCCUUAAGCAGUGUGAGCUUGGCAUUUUUUUCUUAAACAAGAAAUAUCAAGAGUGGUCGGCAUUAAAGUGGAAAUGUGUAACAGUGUGUGGAAGGGACCUACAGACCUUCACUAACUGGCAACUUUUACAGCCAGAAAUAUGUGCCACUGUUAAAAAAUCCUGACUUGAUUAUGUGGUAGUUUUGGUUACUGGGGUGCAGAAGUUUGUUGCUAAAAAAAAAAAAUGGAAUGGAUACAACUACUUGCACUACUUGCCAGUCAUUGAAAAGUGCAAUGCUAACAUGUUAUGCAGAAUAGUUCACAUUGUCAUACUGUCAAAACAGUAGUUGGUGGCUAUGUGAUUGCCAUGUGAACUUAAUUGAGGACUGGCCAAGCAAUUCCCUGGAUAUUAAUCCAGUUGAGAAGCCUUGCAUUUUCAAGCAACUACUGCAGGGGAGGGAUAUGUUGUAAAUUCCAAAGCUGGAGGCUGCCAUCUGUGAAGAGGGAACUAAUUUGGACCCUGAGCUGGGGAAGCGGAAGCCUAUUGACAACUAACUGGUUGGAAAGACUUGGUUUUGGCCUGCAUUUGGUGCUGGGAAUGUGUUCGUUGGCAAGUUCCUUGGCUACAAUGAUGUCAUGGGUAUUUUAAUGUUAGUGAUGCAUCAUUUGUGGACACAGUUUGCCCAGAAUAGUGUUGUUUGAUGCCAUACAGCUGGGACCAUGAAGGUGCCCUGAUUGGCUGACCUUUCCAUUCAUAAAAUGGUACUGAAUGGCAGGCAUUUCAAUUCCUAAAACUAUGUGCAGUUGGUCAUUGGAUCUCCAAUAUUAAUGGUCCAUAUAUGGGAGCUUGCAUUCACUACAGAUGGAAGUAACUGGCUUUUGGCAAGGAGAACUGGGACCACUUCAUUCAGUACCCAUAAGUUAAUGGGGGCAAGCACACACAUGGCUGCUGUUUCUCAAGAUGGUUGCAACUGAAGGACUAAUAUUCCAUGUAAAUUGCGAGUUUGCCAAUUUGAAUGAUUUUUGGCAUUGUUUUGAUUGUACCAAAGUUUAUUCUCCAAAAUUGUCUACUUCAGGCCGUUUCAUAAAAUAUUGUGGCUUGGUAUUGAUCUGCUGUGGCAAAAUUUAUACAAGAAAAUUUUCUGAGGGAUGAUGUUGUUUUUUACCUGCUGGCAAGU
Molecule: long non-coding RNA, 2314 nt
Organism: Homarus americanus (American lobster)
Lineage: Eukaryota; Metazoa; Arthropoda; Malacostraca; Decapoda; Nephropidae
Exons: 29
Source: RefSeq, a predicted model, not a curated record